RNAcentral lists this transfer RNA (66 nucleotides) under Mytilus californianus (California mussel). RNAcentral's name for it is "tRNA-Leu". The record is from RNAcentral. Lineage: Eukaryota; Metazoa; Mollusca; Bivalvia; Mytilida; Mytilidae.
UGCAAGCUGGCAGAUAUAAUGCAACUGAUUUAGGACCAGCAUAUAAGAAAUUAUUCUUGCUUGCAA